CAGCCGCCGCGGGAAUACGUAGGUGGCAAGCGUUGUCCGGAAUUAUUGGGCGUAAAGGGCUCGCAGGCGGUUUCUUAAGUCUGAUGUGAAAGCCCCCGGCUCAACCGGGGAGGGUCAUUGGAAACUGGGAAACUUGAGUGCAGAAGAGGAGAGUGGAAUUCCACGUGUAGCGGUGAAAUGCGUAGAGAUGUGGAGGAACACCAGUGGCGAAGGCGACUCUCUGGUCUGUAACUGACGCUGAGGAGUGAAAGCGUGGGGAGCGAACAGGAUUAGAUACCCCCGUAGUCCCUGUCUCUUAUAC
Molecule: ribosomal RNA, 301 nt
Filed under: uncultured bacterium
Lineage: Bacteria
Description: partial 16S ribosomal RNA
Rfam family: Bacterial small subunit ribosomal RNA
Source: RNAcentral